UACGGAGGGAGCGAGCGUUAAUCGGAAUUACUGGGCGUAAAGCGCACGUAGGUGGCUUUGUAAGUCGGAUGUGAAAGCCCUGGGCUUAACCUGGGAAUGGCAUUCGAUACUGCAUAGCUAGAGUAUGGUAGAGGGAAGUGGAAUUUCCGGUGUAGCGGUGAAAUGCGUAGAUAUCGGAAGGAACACCAGUGGCGAAGGCGACUUCCUGGGCCAAUACUGACACUGAGGUGCGAAAGCGUGGGGAGCAAACAGG
RNAcentral lists this ribosomal RNA (253 nucleotides) under uncultured bacterium. RNAcentral describes it as "partial 16S ribosomal RNA". It matches the Rfam family "Bacterial small subunit ribosomal RNA", at positions 524 to 776 of the family's 1533-position model. The record is from RNAcentral.